Molecule: ribosomal RNA, 301 nt
Filed under: uncultured bacterium
Lineage: Bacteria
Description: partial 16S ribosomal RNA
Rfam family: Bacterial small subunit ribosomal RNA
Source: RNAcentral
CAGCAGCCGCGGUAAUACGGAGGGUGCGAGCGUUAAUCGGAAUUACUGGGCGUAAAGCGCACGUAGGCGGAUCGAUCAGUCAGGGGUGAAAUCCCAGGGCUCAACCCUGGAACUGCCUUUGAUACUGUCGAUCUGGAGUAUGGAAGAGGUGAGUGGAAUUCCGAGUGUAGAGGUGAAAUGCGUAGAUAUAGGAAGGAACACCAGUGGCGAAGGCGACUACCUGGACUGAUACUGACACUGAGGUGCGAAAGCGUGGGGAGCAAACAGGAUUAGAUACCCGCGUAGUCCCUGUCUCUUAUAC